GCAAGUCGAGCGAACGGAUAAGGAGCUUGCUCCUUUGAAGUUAGCGGCGGACGGGUGAGUAACACGUGGGUAACCUACCUAUAAGACUGGAAUAACUUCGGGAAACCGGAGCUAAUGCCGGAUAACAUUUGGAACCGCAUGGUUCUAAAGUAAAAGAUGGUUUUGCUAUCACUUAUAGAUGGACCCGCGCCGUAUUAGCUAGUUGGUAAGGUAACGGCUUACCAAGGCAACGAUACGUAGCCGACCUGAGAGGGUGAUCGGCCACACUGGAACUGAGACACGGUCCAGACUCCUACGGGAGGCAGCAGUAGGGAAUCUUCCGCAAUGGACGAAAGUCUGACGGAGCAACGCCGCGUGAGUGAUGAAGGUUUUCGGAUCGUAAAACUCUGUUAUUAGGGAAGAACAAAUGUGUAAGUAACUGUGCACAUCUUGACGGUACCUAAUCAGAAAGCCACGGCUAACUACGUGCCAGCAGCCGCGGUAAUACGUAGGUGGCAAGCGUUAUCCGGAAUUAUUGGGCGUAAAGCGCGCGUAGGCGGUUUCUUAAGUCUGAUGUGAAAGCCCACGGCUCAACCGUGGAGGGUCAUUGGAAACUGGGAAACUUGAGUACAGAAGAGGAAAGUGGAAUUCCAUGUGUAGCGGUGAAAUGCGCAGAGAUAUGGAGGAACACCAGUGGCGAAGGCGACUUUCUGGUCUGUAACUGACGCUGAUGUGCGAAAGCGUGGGGAUCAAACAGGAUUAGAUACCCUGGUAGUCCACGCCGUAAACGAUGAGUGCUAAUGUUUAGGGGGGUUUCCCCCCCCUUAUUGCUGCAGCUAACGCAUUAAGCACUCCGCCCGGGGGAGUACGACCCCCACGGUUGAAACUCCCAGGGAAUUGACGGGGGACCCCCCCC
Molecule: ribosomal RNA, 895 nt
Filed under: bacterium
Lineage: Bacteria
Description: bacterial SSU rRNA
Rfam family: Bacterial small subunit ribosomal RNA
Source: RNAcentral